The sequence is an unclassified non-coding RNA, 267 nucleotides long. The stretch from base 1 to 53 matches the Rfam family "5.8S ribosomal RNA", at positions 102 to 154 of the family's 154-position model.
GAACGCACAUUGCGCCCGCGAGUAUUCUCGCGGGCAUGCCUGUCCGAGCGUCAUUUCAACCCUCAGGGCCCGCCUGCUUGCAGGCGCGGCGCUGGCGUUGGGGAUCGGCCCUCACCGGUCGUCCCCCAAAUACAGUGGCGGUCUCGCUGCAGCCUCCCCUGCGUAGUAGCAACACUCGCAUGCGGAGCGCGGCGCGGCCACGCCGUAAAACCCCCGACUUUCUGAACGUUGACCUCGGAUCAGGUAGGAAUACCCGCUGAACUUAAG